CCUACGGGUGGCAGCAGUGGGGAAUAUUGGUCAAUGGGCGCGAGCCUGAACCAGCCAAGUAGCGUGAAGGAUGACUGCCCUACGGGGUGUAAAGAUCUGUCAGUGGGGACGAAACCUGACGGUACCCACAGAGGAAGCACCGGCUAACUCCGUGCCAGCAGCCGCGGUAAUACGGGGGGUGCAAGCGUUGUCCGGAAUCAUUGGGCGUAAAGAGUUCGUAGGUGGCACGUUAAGUCUGGUGUUAAAGGCGGAAGCUCAACUUCCGUAGGGCACUGGAUACUGGCGAGCUGGAAUGCGGUAGAGGUAAAGGGAAUUCCUGGUGUAGCGGUGAAAUGCGUAGAUAUCAGGAGGAACAUCGGUGGCGUAAGCGCUUUACUGGGCCGUAAUUGACACUGAGGAACGAAAGCCGGGGUAGCAAAUGGGAUUAGAUACCCGAGUAGUC
Molecule: ribosomal RNA, 442 nt
Filed under: uncultured bacterium
Lineage: Bacteria
Description: partial 16S ribosomal RNA
Rfam family: Bacterial small subunit ribosomal RNA
Source: RNAcentral